RNAcentral lists this transfer RNA (74 nucleotides) under Trichonephila inaurata madagascariensis. RNAcentral's name for it is "tRNA-Ile". It matches the Rfam family "tRNA". From Rfam's summary of the family: Transfer RNA (tRNA) molecules are approximately 80 nucleotides in length. Lineage: Eukaryota; Metazoa; Arthropoda; Arachnida; Araneae; Nephilidae. The record is from RNAcentral.
UCCCCAGUGGCGCAAUUGGUUAGCGCGCGGUACUUAUAAUGCCGAGGUUGUUAGUUCGAUCCUCACCUGGGGAA